AUUGAACGCUGGCGGCAGGCCUAACACAUGCAAGUCGAGCGAGCGGCGGACGGGUGAGUAAUGUCUGGGAAACUGCCUGAUGGAGGGGGAUAACUACUGGAAACGGUAGCUAAUACCGCAUACCAUCAGAUGUGCCCCAAUGGGAUUAGCUAGUAGGUGGGGUAACGGCUCACCUAGGCGACGAUCCCUAGCUGGUCUGAGAGGAUGACCAGCCACACUGGAACUGAGACACGGCCCAGACUCCUACGGGAGGCAGCAGUGGGGAAUAUUGGACAAUGGGCGCAAGCCUGAUGCAGCCAUGCCGCGUGUGUGAAGAAGGCCUUCGGGUUGUAAAGCACUUUUAGCGGGGAGGCGGUACCCGAAGAAGAAGCACCGGCUAACUACGUGCCAGCAGCCGCGGUAAUAC
RNAcentral lists this ribosomal RNA (406 nucleotides) under uncultured bacterium. RNAcentral's name for it is "partial 16S ribosomal RNA". It matches the Rfam family "Bacterial small subunit ribosomal RNA", at positions 30 to 526 of the family's 1533-position model. The record is from RNAcentral.